RNAcentral lists this ribosomal RNA (422 nucleotides) under uncultured bacterium. RNAcentral describes it as "partial 16S ribosomal RNA". It matches the Rfam family "Bacterial small subunit ribosomal RNA", at positions 360 to 773 of the family's 1533-position model. The record is from RNAcentral.
AAUAUUGGACAAUGGGGGGAACCCUUAUCCAGCCAUGCCGCGUGUGUGAAGAAGGCCUUUUGGUUGUAAAGCACUUUAAGCGAGGAGGAGGAGCUCUUGGUUAAUACCCAAGAUGCUUGGACGUUACUCGCAGAAUAAGCACCGGCUAACUUCGUGCCAGCAGCCGCGGUAAUACGAAGGGUGCAAGCGUUAAUCGGAAUUACUGGGCGUAAAGCGCGCGGAGGUGGUUUGUUAAGUUGGAAGUGAAAGCCCCGGGCUCAACCUGGGAACUGCUUUCAUAACUGCUGAGCUAGAGUACGGUAGAGGGUAGUGGAAUUUCCUGUGUAGCGGUGAAAUGCGUAGAUAUAGGAAGGAACACCAGUGGCGAAGGCGACUACCUGGACUGAUACUGACACUGAGGUGCGAAAGCGUGGGGAGCAAAC